Potamilus streckersoni is the source of this 73-nucleotide non-coding RNA. Lineage: Eukaryota; Metazoa; Mollusca; Bivalvia; Unionida; Unionidae. The record is from the annotation of a GenBank genome assembly.
UCAGUGGCCUAAGUGGUUAGAGCGUCCGCUUUGGAUGCGGGAGGUCGCGAGUUUGAACCCAGGACCAGUAAAA